Molecule: ribosomal RNA, 253 nt
Filed under: uncultured bacterium
Lineage: Bacteria
Description: partial 16S ribosomal RNA
Rfam family: Bacterial small subunit ribosomal RNA
Source: RNAcentral
UACGUAGGGGGCGAGCGUUGUCCGGAAUCAUUGGGCGUAAAGAGCGUGUAGGCGGUCCGGUAAGUCCGCUGUGAAAGUCGGGGGCUCAACCCUCGAAUGCCGGUGGAUACUGUCGGGCUAGAGUGCGGAAGAGGCGAGUGGAAUUCCUGGUGUAGCGGUGAAAUGCGCAGAUAUCAGGAGGAACACCUAUUGCGAAGGCAGCUCGCUGGGACGUUACUGACGCUGAGACGCGAAAGCGUGGGGAGCAAACAGG